UAGGGAAUCUUCCACAAUGGACGAAAGUCUGAUGGAGCAACGCCGCGUGAGUGAAGAAGGGUUUCAGCUCGUAAAGCUCUGUUGUUAAAGAAGAACACGUAUGAGAGUAACUGUUCAUACGUUGACGGUAUUUAACCAGAAAGUCACGGCUAACUACGUGCCAC
RNAcentral lists this ribosomal RNA (164 nucleotides) under uncultured bacterium. Its description in RNAcentral is "partial 16S rRNA". It matches the Rfam family "Bacterial small subunit ribosomal RNA", at positions 355 to 511 of the family's 1533-position model. The record is from RNAcentral.